RNAcentral lists this ribosomal RNA (440 nucleotides) under uncultured bacterium. Its description in RNAcentral is "partial 16S ribosomal RNA". It matches the Rfam family "Bacterial small subunit ribosomal RNA", at positions 338 to 795 of the family's 1533-position model. The record is from RNAcentral.
CCUACGGGAGGCAGCAGUGGGGAAUAUUGCACAAUGGGGGAAACCCUGAUGCAGCAACGCCGCGUGAGUGAAGAAGUAUUUCGGUAUGUAAAGCACUAUCAGCAGGGAAGAAGAUGACGGUACCUGACCAAGAAGCACCGGCUAACUACGUGCCAGCAGCCGCGGUAAUACGUAGGGGGAAAGAGUUAUCCGGAUGUACUGGGUGUAAAGGUAGCGCAGACUGCAGUGCAAGUCUGGAGUGAAAGCCCGGGGCCCAACCCCGGAACUGCUCUGGAAACUGUGCGGCUAGAGUACUGGAGGGGCGGGCGGAAUUCCUAGUGUAGCGGUGAAAUGCGUAGAUAUUAGGAGGAACACCAGUGGCGAAGGCGGCCUGCUGGACAGUAACUGACGUUGAGGCUCGAAAGCGUGGGGAGCAAACAGGAUUAGAUACCCGAGUAGUC